Molecule: ribosomal RNA, 482 nt
Filed under: uncultured bacterium
Lineage: Bacteria
Description: partial 16S ribosomal RNA
Rfam family: Bacterial small subunit ribosomal RNA
Source: RNAcentral
AUUGAACGCUGGCGGCAUGCCUUACACAUGCAAGUCGAACGGUAACGGGCCUUCGGGUGCCGACGAGUGGCGAACGGGUGAGUAAUACAUCGGAACGUGCCCGAUCGUGGGGGAUAACGAGGCGAAAGCUUUGCUAAUACCGCAUACGAUCUACGGAUGAAAGCAGGGGACCGCAAGGCCUUGCGCGGACGGAGCGGCCGAUGGCAGAUUAGGUAGUUGGUGGGAUAAAAGCUUACCAAGCCGACGAUCUGUAGCUGGUCUGAGAGGAUGAUCAGCCACACUGGGACUGAGACACGGCCCAGACUCCUACGGGAGGCAGCAGUGGGGAAUUUUGGACAAUGGGCGCAAGCCUGAUCCAGCCAUGCCGCGUGCAGGAUGAAGGCCUUCGGGUUGUAAACCGCUUUUGUACGGAACGAAAAGCCUUCUUUUAAUACAGGAGGGUCAUGACGGUACCGUAAGAAUAAGCACCGGCUAACUACGUG